Molecule: ribosomal RNA, 492 nt
Filed under: uncultured bacterium
Lineage: Bacteria
Description: partial 16S ribosomal RNA
Rfam family: Bacterial small subunit ribosomal RNA
Source: RNAcentral
AUUGAACGCUGGCGGCAUGCUUUACACAUGCAAGUCGAACGGUAACAGGCCUUCGGGUGCUGACGAGUGGCGAACGGGUGAGUAAUGCAUCGGAACGUGCCCAGAGGUGGGGGAUAACGCAGCGAAAGCUGUGCUAAUACCGCAUGUGAUCUGAGGAUGAAAGCGGGGGACCAGGCAGCAAUGUUUGGCCUCGCGCCUUUGGAGCGGCCGAUGUCAGAUUAGGUAGUUGGUGGGGUAAAGGCCUACCAAGCCGACGAUCUGUAGCUGGUCUGAGAGGACGACCAGCCACACUGGGACUGGGACAAGGCCCAGACUCCUACGGGAGGCAGCAGUGGGGAAUUCUGGACAAUGGGCGCAAGCCUGAUCCAGCAAUGCCGCGUGCGGGAAGAAGGCCUUCGGGUUGUAAACCGCUUUUGUACGGAACGAAAAGGCUCUGGCUAAUACCUGGGGCUGAUGACGGUACCGUAAGAAUAAGCACCGGCUAACUACGUG